This 231-nucleotide long non-coding RNA is filed under the name Spirodela polyrhiza (greater duckweed). RNAcentral describes it as "long non-coding RNA (SPOL_LNC002673)". Lineage: Eukaryota; Viridiplantae; Streptophyta; Magnoliopsida; Alismatales; Araceae. The record is from RNAcentral.
AGAAAGAGAGAGAGAGAGAGGCGCCGCAGAUUAGCUGGUGAUGGUAUCAUCAAAGAAUUGACUUGGAGAAGCUUGAUAGAAUGCCGGGCUCGGAAAUAGAUGGGGACUGUCGUGGCUUCUCGAAUGUCUUGCAGGUCAACUCGACCGACCGUCGAUGGAUUUCCCUAGCCGGGGGCGGCACUCGUUUAUGGAGCACGGCGCCGCCACGCCCCCUGUCUCGCCAUUUUCNNN